CCAAAGCAACAGCACCACACUGACUACUCGAGAAGAGGAAGAAAAUGGAGGAGAAGGACUAUAUAAGGCAAACUACUAAAUGAAAAUAACAACAUGGAAGACGUCGGUGGGCUCCAAGACUUAACUGGUUCUUAUCUGGUCUUCUCUGGUCCACCCAAUGCUGCUCUUCUGAGAGCAACCGCUCUGACAGCUCUCUCUAGUCUCUACUGGGAAACAGCUAAAAGUCCUUCUGGAGGCUUUGCAUUUGAACUCCUAUGACUGGUUGCGGACUUAAAGGGAACGCCUUCCUGACAUCCAGGAAAAAGUUUUAUUGGACAGGCAGUAGAGAUCUACUGGAAACAGUGGAGAGGGAGGAGAUGAUAUGCAGCAUACGGCCCAGCCGGAUGGUUGCUGCUCCGUGUGGAACGUGUCCUAUCAGGUGUAACAUCUACCAAUGGUUGUACAUGACAGAGACCUCCUCCGCCUCUUUGCUGUCUUACUAGUCAAUCCUUCUGAUCAGGUCCUUUCCUAAAUAGUGAAAGGAUCAUGCCAGCCCACAUCAAACACCUGAUCAAGAGCUUGUGAACCUCACUGCUGCAGACACCUGUGUGAUAUUCCACUCUGACUGGAACCCUCAAAAUGACCUGCAGGCUCAAGCUCGGUUCGUCAUCGUUUUGGCCAGUCUAAGGCAGUGGAGGUGUACCGUCUGAUCACUAGAAACUAUGAGAGGGAAAUGCUGGAUAAAGCUAGUCUGAAGCUCGGGCUGGACCGUCCCGUCCUGCAGAGCAUGAGUGGCAACAACAACGGGCCGGUCCAGCAGUUCUCCAAGAAGGAGAUCGAGGAAAGGAGCCUACGCCGCCAUCAUGGACGAGAACGACGAAGGCAAUCGCUUCUGCUAGGAGGACAUCGACCAGAUCCUGCAGCGAAGAGCCACCAUCAUCACCAUCACCAGUUUGCUUCAAGCAGUGGCUGCACGAGAAAGACGUGGAGGACCAAGAAAUGCUGGCCAGAUUGGCAAAGACCGGAAGAUACAUAACAGAGAAGAUAAUGGAUAUUAA
Long non-coding RNA from Gymnodraco acuticeps, 1037 nucleotides. RefSeq lists it as uncharacterized. The transcript has 8 exons. Lineage: Eukaryota; Metazoa; Chordata; Actinopteri; Perciformes; Bathydraconidae. The record is from RefSeq and is a predicted model, not a curated record.